ACACACAAUCUCGUCCCUACUAGAGAUGUUUUGCAACCAUGUGAGAGAGGAAGAGUCACAAGGAUCUUGGUGGCGAGGGAGGGCCAUGCACGGUGGAAGAGAAAAUUGAGAGCAACUUCAGCGAAAGAGUGUUCUACCAACGAAGCAAUAUGGCAAAAAUCCAGAUCCACAAUCUAUCGGCCAUCACCUAUCGUGCUCCGCAGCAACGCCUACGCCGCCACGGGCGGGAUCUGGAUCAACG
RNAcentral lists this long non-coding RNA (241 nucleotides) under Glycine max (soybean). RNAcentral describes it as "long non-coding RNA (GMAX_LNC002811)". Lineage: Eukaryota; Viridiplantae; Streptophyta; Magnoliopsida; Fabales; Fabaceae. The record is from RNAcentral.